UGACUGAGGAUCUUAUUUCCAGUCUGACAAGUAAGGAAAAGGAUCAGGCAGCUUCUGCAGCUCCAGCUCAAAGAACCACAAGUCAAGAUAAACUCUUCACUAGUGCCCAAUUCAACUCAAGAAACCAGGAACCCACGAAGAAUUAUUUAAACACUUGAACAAAGGCUUUGUUUUCAUUUGGACUUGCCCUGUUUACCAGUUUAUAAGUGCACUAUUCUCUAUAGAAUGCAGGCUAUACAAGUUUCCAUAUCAACAGUCAUUCAGAAUCUAAUACUUGGAAUGGAAAGGUGUGCACAGUU
This is a long non-coding RNA of Monodelphis domestica (gray short-tailed opossum), 299 nucleotides long. Lineage: Eukaryota; Metazoa; Chordata; Mammalia; Didelphimorphia; Didelphidae. The record is from Ensembl.